This 460-nucleotide ribosomal RNA is filed under the name uncultured bacterium. Its description in RNAcentral is "partial 16S ribosomal RNA". It matches the Rfam family "Bacterial small subunit ribosomal RNA", at positions 338 to 795 of the family's 1533-position model. The record is from RNAcentral.
CCUACGGGUGGCAGCAGUGAGGAAUAUUGGUCAAUGGGCGGGAGCCUGAACCAGCCAAGUCGCGUGAGGGAAGACGGUCCUAUGGAUUGUAAACCUCUUUAGGCGGGGAGCAAUGCCGGGCACGCGUGCCCGGAGGGAGAGUACCCGCAGAAUAAGCAUCGGCUAACUCCGUGCCAGCAGCCGCGGUAAUACGGAGGAUUCAGGCGUUAUCCGGAUUUAGUGGGUUUAAAGGGUGCGUAGGCUGAAUGCCAAGUCAGCGGUAAAAUCGCGGGGCUCAAACUCGCUCCGCCGUUGAAACUGGAGUGCGGGAGGGGGCGAGAAGUAUGCGGAAGGCGUGGUGUAGCGGGGAAAUGAAUAGAUAGCACGCAGAACUCCGAGGGCGAAGGAAGCAUACCGGCGCCCAACUGACGCGGAAGCACGAAAGCGUGGGUAUCGAACAGGAGUAGAUACCCGAGUAGUC